RNAcentral lists this ribosomal RNA (997 nucleotides) under Sordariomycetes sp. U9.2. RNAcentral's name for it is "eukaryotic LSU rRNA". The stretch from base 435 to 997 matches the Rfam family "Eukaryotic large subunit ribosomal RNA", at positions 1 to 576 of the family's 3401-position model. The record is from RNAcentral. Lineage: Eukaryota; Fungi; Ascomycota; Sordariomycetes.
GAUCCCGGGGCGCCGCUGCCCUCCGCCCCCGGGUCUCCGGGAGGUGCGGGGCGCCCGCCGGAGGUACGAAACUCUUAUGUAUCACAGUGGCAUCUCUGAGUGAAAAACAAAUAAGUUAAAACUUUCAACAACGGAUCUCUUGGUUCUGGCAUCGAUGAAGAACGCAGCGAAAUGCGAUAAGUAAUGUGAAUUGCAGAAUUCAGUGAAUCAUCGAAUCUUUGAACGCACAUUGCGCCCGGCAGUACUCUGCCGGGCAUGCCUGUUCGAGCGUCAUUUCAACCCUCAAGCCCUGCUUGGUGUUGGGGCCCUACGGCUGCCGUAGGCCCUGAAAGGAAGUGGCGGGCUCGCUGCAACUCCGAGCGUAGUAACUCAUUAUCUCGCUAGGGACGUUGCGGCGCGCUCCUGCCGUUAAAGAACCCAUCUUUAACCAAGGUUGACCUCGGAUCAGGUAGGAAUACCCGCUGAACUUAAGCAUAUCAAUAAGCGGAGGAAAAGAAACCAACAGGGAUUGCCCUAGUAACGGCGAGUGAAGCGGCAACAGCUCAAAUUUGAAAUCUGGCUUCGGCCCGAGUUGUAAUUUGUAGAGGAUGCUUUUGGCGAGGUGCCUUCUGAGUUCCCUGGAACGGGACGCCAGAGAGGGUGAGAGCCCCGUAUAGUCGGACACCAAGCCUUUGUAAAGCUCCUUCGACGAGUCGAGUAGUUUGGGAAUGCUGCUCAAAAUGGGAGGUAUAUCUCUUCUAAAGCUAAAUAUAGGCCAGAGACCGAUAGCGCACAAGUAGAGUGAUCGAAAGAUGAAAAGCACUUUGAAAAGAGGGUUAAAUAGCACGUGAAAUUGUUGAAAGGGAAGCGCUUGUGACCAGACUUGUGCCGGGCUGAUCAUCCAGUGUUCUCACUGGUGCACUCGACCCGGCUCAGGCCAGCGUCGGUUCUCGUGGGGGGAUAAAAACUUCGGGAACGUGGCUCCUCCGGGAGUGUUAUAGCCCGUUGUUUAAUACCC